UUGCACGCUGGCGGCAUGCUUUACCCAUGCAAGUCGAACGGCAGCGCGGGCUUCGGCCUGGCGGCGAGUGGCGAACGGGUGAGUAAUACAUCGGAACGUGCCCAGUAGUGGGGGAUAGCUCGGCGAAAGCCGGAUUAAUACCGCAUACGACCUGAGGGUGAAAGCGGGGGAUCUUCGGACCUCUCGCUAUUGGCGCGGCCGAUGGCAGAUUAGCUAGUUGGUGGGGUAAAGGCCUACCAAGGCGACGAUCUGUAGCUGGUCUGAGAGGACGACCAGCCACACUGGGACUGAGACACGGCCCAGACUCCUACGGGAGGCAGCAGUGGGGAAUUUUGGACAAUGGGCGAAAGCCUGAUCCAGCAAUGCCGCGUGUGUGAUGAAGGCCUUCGGGUUGUAAAGCACUUUUGGCGGGAACGAAAAGGACUGUGCCAAUACCACGGUUCGAUGACGGUACCCGCAGAAUAAGCACCGGCUAACUACGUG
RNAcentral lists this ribosomal RNA (483 nucleotides) under uncultured bacterium. RNAcentral's name for it is "partial 16S ribosomal RNA". It matches the Rfam family "Bacterial small subunit ribosomal RNA", at positions 29 to 507 of the family's 1533-position model. The record is from RNAcentral.